UCACCCUUCCUUGUUUUUCCCGCCUAUAUACCACCGUCGUCAGCUUACCCUGUGAAGGCCUAAUAGUAAGCAAAAUUGGCACAGCCCAAAACGUCAGGUCGAGGUGUAGCGUAUGGAAGGGGAAGAAAUGGGCUACAUUCCCUAACCCAGUGCAUACGGACGACACACUGAAACACGUAUCUGAAGGAGGAUUUAGCAGUAAGCAGAAAAUAGAGUGUUCUGCUGAAACUGGCCCUGAAGCGCGCACACACCGCCCGUCACUCUCCCCAAGCUUAUAACUACAAAUAAAUAAAACCCUUCAACUGCAAAGGGGAGGCAAGUCGUAACAUGGUAAGUGUACCGGAAGGUGCACUUGGAAAAAU
This 362-nucleotide ribosomal RNA is filed under the name Prionurus punctatus (yellowtail surgeonfish). RNAcentral describes it as "partial 12S ribosomal RNA". It matches the Rfam family "Bacterial small subunit ribosomal RNA", at positions 966 to 1533 of the family's 1533-position model. The record is from RNAcentral. Lineage: Eukaryota; Metazoa; Chordata; Actinopteri; Acanthuriformes; Acanthuridae.